GGGAACCAGCACCGAGAGGGUAGUGACCUAUUCCCAUUAAAUAAUGUAAAGUUCCAAAGACGGGUCCUCUAUCUGCUGGCCGAUAUACGCGAAAAGCUGUCCCAGGUGGGCCAAAACUGUGAGCCCCCAGACUCUCAGUUCAACCUGGAGAAGAUGAACAGCAGGCGUGAGCUCAAAAAUUUGGAAGGGCAACUGGCUGAUGAAGGAAAGAAGAAUAUGAUGAUUGGGGGUGCAGACCUUGAGGACUGUGUGAAAAAUAUGAUGAAAAGAGUUCUUACCAACAGGAUGAUGGCCAUGAUGAACAUGGAUGGCACAAGAC
Long non-coding RNA from Sander lucioperca (pikeperch), 319 nucleotides. RefSeq lists it as uncharacterized. The transcript is spliced from 4 exons. NCBI's taxonomy places the organism in Eukaryota, Metazoa, Chordata, Actinopteri, Perciformes, Percidae. The record is from RefSeq and is a predicted model, not a curated record.